This 439-nucleotide ribosomal RNA is filed under the name uncultured bacterium. RNAcentral describes it as "bacterial SSU rRNA". It matches the Rfam family "Bacterial small subunit ribosomal RNA", at positions 340 to 773 of the family's 1533-position model. The record is from RNAcentral.
UACGGGAGGCAGCAGUGGGGAAUAUUGCACAAUGGGCGCAAGCCUGAUGCAGCCAUGCCGCGUGUAUGAAGAAGGUCUUCGGGUUGUAAAGUACUUUCAGUCGUGAGGAAGGUGUUAAGGUUAAUAACCUUAGCAAUUGACGUUAGCGACAGAAGAAGCACCGGCUAACUCCGUGCCAGCAGCCGCGGUAAUACGGAGGGUGCGAGCGUUAAUCGGAAUUACUGGGCGUAAAGGGCACGCAGGCGGUUAAUUAAGUUGGAUGUGAAAUCCCCGGGCUUAACCUGGGAAUGGCAUUCAAGACUGGUUAGCUAGAGUCUUGUAGAGGGGGUAGAAUUCCAUGUGUAGCGGUGAAAUGCGUAGAGAUGUGGAGGAAUACCGGUGGCGAAGGCGGCCCCUGGACAAAGACUGACGCUCAUGUGCGAAAGCGUGGGGAGCAAAC